AGAAAGCAUGGCUUAUCUGUAUUUGUGCUAUGUCCUGGUUGGGAAAUGUUACAUUUCAAGCUCAACUUAAAAAGGACUCUUUAUUGAUGACUUGGACUGGAUGUAAGCUUGGAACUUUUUGCUUACUUAUGGAACUGUUUCUGAAAUGGAAGAGUCAAAUGCAUGGAUUGUUAUUGGUGGGAGUGAAUUUAUCGCAAACGGUUAUUAAUCUACUGAGGGACUACUUCUACUUUGGACAUUGAUUUAGGAUAUAUAAGACCUACAAACAUCAAUUUACACUUCAUUGAAGUGUGCAACCAAUGACUACAUGUAAAGUAGUCCUGUAAGCUGACUGUUUCAUUGUUUUGUUUAUUGUAGUUGAUUUGUUUUUCGUUUGUACUUACUUUUUGGGUGUUGACAAUUAUUGUUCUUUUUCAUGGGAAUAUAAAAACAGAUAUAGUGUUUAUUCAUUUGG
This is a non-coding RNA of Pimephales promelas (fathead minnow), 454 nucleotides long. The record is from RefSeq and is a predicted model, not a curated record. Lineage: Eukaryota; Metazoa; Chordata; Actinopteri; Cypriniformes; Leuciscidae.